Molecule: transfer RNA, 69 nt
Filed under: Rattus norvegicus (Norway rat)
Lineage: Eukaryota; Metazoa; Chordata; Mammalia; Rodentia; Muridae
Rfam family: tRNA
About the family: Transfer RNA (tRNA) molecules are approximately 80 nucleotides in length.
Source: Rfam by way of RNAcentral
GGGGAUUUAGCUCAGCGGUAGAGUGCUUGCCUAGCAAGUGCAAGGCCCUGGGUUCGAUCCCCAGCUCCG